Molecule: long non-coding RNA, 778 nt
Organism: Pangasianodon hypophthalmus (striped catfish)
Lineage: Eukaryota; Metazoa; Chordata; Actinopteri; Siluriformes; Pangasiidae
Exons: 3
Source: RefSeq, a predicted model, not a curated record
ACCUGUGUAUAAAGUAAAACAGCAAAUUAGUGCUAUUUAAAUUUACUCUUUUAAAAAAGUUUUGCAUUGAAGUUACAAGGCGAAUGGAAGCUUGUGAGCACCAAUAAUGUGGUUAUUAUGCUAACCACAUGAAUUAAUUACCACACCCCAGCAAUAUUAUUUUAAAAUGAUUACAUUUUGAAAUACAAUUUUUAAGAACAGAAACAUGGAAGUGAAGUCAAGUCAAACGAUUCUGGAUUCAAAAUGGCUGCAGCAGAGUUUACAUGGACAUUUGCUCAUUAUAGAUGAGUAAAAGGUAUGAUGGUGGCAAAUUCUGUGCCAAAAAUCUGAGUGCAAAUCAUUUUUCUUUUUGCCAGCAGUGGGAAAAAAACUCAAAUGUCCUCAACCUCAGACCUCAAAACUCAAAUAUCAUUGCCUAAUUCAUUUUUCCGGAAAUCAGUGCUGACUGGCUGCGUGCCACUGUGACGCACCAUUGGCGGAGUUACCUGUUCUUCAUCAGAGGCAUGACUUCAUCAACACACACUCUUCAUGUCCUGAACUGAUAAAAGGCAGAGGGCAGAUGUGAAUUUGCUGCCCUAAACUUGGACUCAAACAGCACCACUGGAGCAUACAGACUAGCAGAAACACAGUUAAGGCCACACUGUAAACGAUCUCCUACAGAGCCGUUCAUCAGCUGAUUGGGCGUCCACUUCAGCGCCAUGGUGUCGGCGGUCUGGUGCAGAGACAGGUAUCCUGGGAUCGCCUCCAUGUCGUCUCUCUACAUGAACAACAACAAGCU